This 458-nucleotide ribosomal RNA is filed under the name uncultured bacterium. Its description in RNAcentral is "partial 16S ribosomal RNA". It matches the Rfam family "Bacterial small subunit ribosomal RNA", at positions 338 to 795 of the family's 1533-position model. The record is from RNAcentral.
CCUACGGGAGGCAGCAGUGAGGAAUAUUGGUCAAUGGGCGAGAGCCUGAACCAGCCAAGUCGCGUGAGGGAGUACUGCCCUAUGGGUUGUAAACCUCUUUUGUCGGGGAGCAAAAGCCGGACGUGUCCGGCUGUGAGAGUCCCAGAAGAAAAAGCAUCGGCUAACUCCGUGCCAGCAGCCGCGGUAAUACGGAGGAUGCGAGCGUUAUCCGGAUUUAUUGGGGUAAAAGGGUGCGCAGGCGGAUUUUUAAGUCAGCGGUCAAAUCGUGGGGCUCAACCCCAUCCAGCCGUUGAAACUGGGGAUCUAGAGUGUGCGAGAGGGAUGCGGAAUGCGUGGUGUAGCGGUGAAAUGCAUAGAUAUCACGCAGAACCCCGAUUGCGAAGGCAGCAUACCGGUGCACAACUGACGCUCAGGCACGAAAGCGUGGGUAUCGAACAGGAUUAGAUACCCUUGUAGUC